GACGAACGCUGGCGGCGUGCCUAAUACAUGCAAGUAGGACGCAGUUGCGAAUGGGUGAGUAACGCGUAGGUAAAGGCCUAGGAGAGGGGGAUAACUCUUGGAAACGAUAGCUAAUACCGCAAAAUAGUAAAUGGACCUGCGUUGUAUUAGAUAGUAGGUAGGGUAAUGGCCUCACUAGGCGACGAUACAUAGCCGACCUGAGAGGGUUAGCGGCCAAACUGGGAAUGAGACACGGCCCAGACUCCUACGGGAGGCAGCAGUAGGGAAUCUUCGGCAAGUGGGGGAACCCUGACCGAGCAACGCCGCGUGAGUGAAGGAGGUUUUCGGAUCGUAAAGCUCUGUUGUUAAGGAAGCGGUACUUAACCAGAAAGGGACGGCUAACUACGUGCCAGCCGCCGCGGUAAUUC
Molecule: ribosomal RNA, 407 nt
Filed under: uncultured bacterium
Lineage: Bacteria
Description: partial 16S ribosomal RNA
Rfam family: Bacterial small subunit ribosomal RNA
Source: RNAcentral